Molecule: unclassified non-coding RNA, 375 nt
Filed under: Hevea brasiliensis (rubber tree)
Lineage: Eukaryota; Viridiplantae; Streptophyta; Magnoliopsida; Malpighiales; Euphorbiaceae
Source: RNAcentral
AUUUUAUCCAAAAUUGAAAUUGGAGUUGGGAAGAGUGUGUAUCAUCCUACGUGCCACUCCAGUUGGCAUAUUUAACCCGUUCUGCUGAUAUUUUCCACAAAGAUGUCUCUGUAUAGAAACAAAUUUCCUGAUUAUGAAGUAUGAACUAUGAUCACACUUAAUAGAACAUGAGAACCCAUUUAAUGAACAGGACUACCUAAUAUUUCUGAAAUAUGAAUGCAACUAAAAAUUAUAGCAAAAAUAAAGCAUAGUCAAAAUAUCAAAUAAUUUGGAACAGUUAACAUACCUGAAGUAAACCUUCCAACCCUAUUCCCAUACCCCUAUAAUUUCUGGCAAAGUAUAAAACUAACAAGCGAGUGCUCCUGAUGAGCUCAU